Molecule: long non-coding RNA, 1660 nt
Organism: Hemiscyllium ocellatum (epaulette shark)
Lineage: Eukaryota; Metazoa; Chordata; Chondrichthyes; Orectolobiformes; Hemiscylliidae
Exons: 2
Source: RefSeq, a predicted model, not a curated record
UGUCAGUUUCAGAGUGCAACUCCUUCCCUCUGGGGAACUCUGCAUCCAGGGAGGGAGGGGGAAUCUGUUCACUUGUAGCAACUGGAGUGAAUCCAGGGAGGGAGCAGACUCUGCAAACUAAAGAGAAUUUGAAGAUCUGAAGACAGAAGUUUCAAAAUCAACAGGUGAAGACCUGAUGCCCGAAACGUUGAUUCUCCUCCUCGGAUGCUGCCUGACCUCCUGCGCUUUUCCAGCUCUGCACUUUUCAACACUGACUCUUCAGUGACUGCAGUCCUCACUUUGAUGUCAAUGUCUGACAGUCACUCAGUCCAUUGGGAACGCAACGGUUUUCAACUCUGAUUCUGUGAGAAGGAGCAAAGCAUUUUGGUUCCUGUUUGGGUACAUUUUCAGCAUCAGUGGGACUGGAUGAGAGACCCUACUGUUGCAGUGCUCUCAGUGAGGAUCGUGUAACAGCUAUACGGCCUGGGAAGAGGAAUUCAUGUUGGGGAGGGUCUCCACACGUGUGCAGCUAAAGCUUCGGCCAUGGAAAAACCCGAGAAAUCCUGCCCUGUGGAGAAACAGUGGAAGUGUGGCGACUGCGGGAAAGGCUUCCGUGCUCCGUCUGCCCUGGAGGUUCAUCGGCACAUCCACACGGGAGAAGCCGUUCUCCUGCCCCGAAUGCUGUAAGGGCUUUACCCAGGACUCUAUCAUGCUGAUCCACUGGCGUAUCCACACAGGGGAACGGCCCUUCCAGUGCCCGAGUGUGGGAAAAUCUUCAGGAAUUCUUCAAACCUGCUCAGGCACCAGCGGCUCCACACUGGGGAAAGGCCCUUCAGCUGUCCCGAGUGCGGGAAGGCCUUUGUCCGGGCCUCCCACCUCCUGACCCACCAGCGGGUCCACACGGGGCAGAGGCCCUUCAGCUGUCCUGAGUGUGGGAAGAGAUUUACCCAGGCCUCCAACUUGCUGACCCACCAGUGGGUCCACACACAGUAAAGGCCCUUCAGUUGCCUUCACCUGCUCCUCCCGCCUGCGGAGGCACCAGCGAGUUCACGUGCCAUUGCAGGGGGAUUGAAGGAGCGACGGCCAAGUGCCAUUAUCGACUGGACUAUCAACCCAGUUCCAGGGACACCCAGGUUUGAAUUCCACGCAGCAGAUGGUGGAUUUGGAAUUUGGUCAGAAAUCUGGAGUUCAGAAUCUAACGGUGAAACCAUUUUCGGGGGUUGGGGGUGGAGAAACCCCCAUCUGAUUCACUCACGUCCUUUUUAGGGAAGGAAACUGUCGUUGUGGGAGAGGAUUCACUUGGUCAUCCCAGCUGCAUCCUUUACCCGGUCUGGCCUACACGUGACUCCAGACCCACAACAGUCUGGUUGACUCUACACUGCCCCCCCCCCCUGGCAAAUGCGUGGAGAGAAACUUACUUGGAGACAAGGUAUGGGUUGAAAUUGGUGAGUGAGGCAGUAUUUCCUAUGGGUUACGGCUGUAGCAAGGACCCAAUUACAAAGGGACAACUCGGUGCUGACCAAUAGUAAAGGAAGAGAGGGGGGUGGCAAUGUGUGCACUUUGACCUUGAGCUGCUUAUUUAAAAAACAGCAACUUUUUCUACGCCUUUUUGGUGAGCUGGGGGGGGGGGGAAUCUGAAGCUGUAACAAAGUUGGGUCACAAUAAAGGUUACCUGAACUUA